RNAcentral lists this ribosomal RNA (131 nucleotides) under uncultured bacterium. RNAcentral describes it as "partial 23S ribosomal RNA". It matches the Rfam family "Bacterial large subunit ribosomal RNA", at positions 1 to 131 of the family's 2925-position model. The record is from RNAcentral.
UUUAAGUUUUUAAGAGCACAUGGUGGAUGCCUUGGCAUUAGGAGCCGAUGAAGGACGUUGUAGCCUGCGUUAAGCCUCGGGGAGUUGGCAAACAAGCUGUGAUCCGAGGGUGUCCGAAUGGGGAAACCCGG